Molecule: ribosomal RNA, 613 nt
Filed under: uncultured bacterium
Lineage: Bacteria
Description: bacterial SSU rRNA
Rfam family: Bacterial small subunit ribosomal RNA
Source: RNAcentral
CGAACGGAGAAUUGCUAGCUUGCUAAUAAUUCUCUAGUGGCGCACGGGUGAGUAACACGUGAGUACCUGCCCCCAAGAGUGGGAUAGCCCCGGGAAACUGGGAUUAAUACCGCAUAAAGCAAUAAAGCAGCAAUGCGCUUGGGGAUGGGCUCGCGUCCUAUUAGUUAGUUGGUGAGGUAACGGCUCACCAAGGCGAUGACGGGUAGCCGGUCUGAGAGGAUGUCCGGCCACACUGGAACUGAGACACGGUCCAGACACCUACGGGUGGCAGCAGUCGAGAAUCAUUCACAAUGGGGGAAACCCUGAUGGUGCGACGCCGCGUGGGGGAUAAGGUCUUCGGAUUGUAAACCCCUGUCAUGUGGGACAUUAAAAGAUAGUACCACAAGAGGAAGAGACGGCUAACUCUGUGCCAGCAGCCGCGGUAAUACAGAGGUCUCAAGCGUUGUUCGGAAUCACUGGGCGUAAAGCGUGCGUAGGCGGUUUCGUAAGUCGUGUGUGAAAGGCGGGGGCUCAACCCCCGGACUGCACAUGAUACUGCGAGACUAGAGUAAUGGAGGGGGAACCGGAAUUCUCGGUGUAGCAGUGAAAUGCGUAGAUAUCGAGAGGAACACUC